Molecule: ribosomal RNA, 253 nt
Filed under: uncultured bacterium
Lineage: Bacteria
Description: partial 16S ribosomal RNA
Rfam family: Bacterial small subunit ribosomal RNA
Source: RNAcentral
UACGUAGGGACCGAGCGUUGUCCGGAAUCACUGGGCGUAAAGGGCGCGUAGGCGGCUCAUGAAGGCUGUGGUGAAAGUCCGGGGCUCAACCUCGGAUCGGCCGUGGCGACUCGUGGGCUGGAGCACUGUAGAGGCGGGUGGAAUUCCGGGUGUAGCGGUGGAAUGCGUAGAGAUCCGGAAGAACACCAGUGGCGAAGGCGGCCCGCUGGGCAGUGGCUGACGCUGAGGCGCGACAGCGUGGGGAGCAAACAGG